Molecule: transfer RNA, 84 nt
Filed under: Gracilaria gracilis
Lineage: Eukaryota; Rhodophyta; Florideophyceae; Gracilariales; Gracilariaceae
Description: tRNA-Leu
Rfam family: tRNA
About the family: Transfer RNA (tRNA) molecules are approximately 80 nucleotides in length. Their secondary structure includes four short double-helical elements and three loops (D, anti-codon, and T loops). Further hydrogen bonds mediate the characteristic L-shaped molecular structure. tRNAs have two regions of fundamental functional importance: the anti-codon, which is responsible for specific mRNA codon recognition, and the 3' end, to which the tRNAs corresponding amino acid is attached (by aminoacyl-tRNA synthetases). tRNAs cope with the degeneracy of the genetic code in two manners: having more than one tRNA (with a specific anti-codon) for a particular amino acid; and 'wobble' base-pairing, i.e. permitting non-standard base-pairing at the 3rd anti-codon position.
Source: RNAcentral
GCGGAUAUGAUGAAAUUGGUAGACAUGUUAGAUUUAGGUUCUGAUGAUUAUUAAAUCAUGAGGGUUCAAAUCCCUCUAUCCGUA